GACGAACGCUGGCGGCGUGCUUAACACAUGCAAGUCGAACGAAGAGCGAUGGAAGCUUGCUUCUAUCAAUCUUAGUGGCGAACGGGUGAGUAACGCGUAAUCAACCUGCCCUUCAGAGGGGGACAACAGUUGGAAACGACUGCUAAUACCGCAUACGAUCUAAUCUCGGCAUCGAGGAUAGAUGAAAGGUGGCCUCUACAUGUAAGCUAUCACUGAAGGAGGGGAUUGCGUCUGAUUAGCUAGUUGGAGGGGUAACGGCCCACCAAGGCGAUGAUCAGUAGCCGGUCUGCGAGGAUGAACGGCCACAUUGGGACUGAGACCCGGCCCAGACUCCUACGGGAGGCAGCAGUGGGGAAUCUUCCGCAAUGGACGAAAGUCUGACGGAGCAACGCCGCGUGAGUGAUGACGGCCUUCGGGUUGUAAAGCUCUGUUAAUCGGGACGAAAGGCCUUCUUGCGAAUAGUGAGAAGGAUUGACGGUACCGGAAUAGAAAGCCACGGCUAACUACGUG
Molecule: ribosomal RNA, 510 nt
Filed under: uncultured bacterium
Lineage: Bacteria
Description: partial 16S ribosomal RNA
Rfam family: Bacterial small subunit ribosomal RNA
Source: RNAcentral